GACGAACGCUGGCGGCGUGCUUAACACAUGCAAGUCGAACGGAAAGGCCCUGCUUUUGUGGGGUGCUCGAUUGGCGAACGGGUGAGUAACACGUGAGUAACCUGCCCUUGACUUUGGGAUAACUUCAGGAAACUGGGGCUAAUACCGGAUAGGAGCUCCUGCUGCAUGGUGGGGGUUGGAAAGUUUCGGCGGUUGGGGAUGGACUCGCGGCUUAUCAGCUUGUUGGUGGGGUAGUGGCUUACCAAGGGUUUGACGGGUAGCCGGCCUGAGAGGGUGACCGGCGACAUGGGGACUGAGAGACGGCCCAGAAGCCUACGGGAGGCAGCAGUGGGGAAUAUUGCGCAGUGGGCGGAAGCCUGAGGCAGCAACGCCGCGUGCGGGAUGACGGCCUACGGGUUGUAAACCGCUGUCGCCGGUGACGAAGCGUGAGUGACGGUAAUGGGUAAGGAAGCACCGGCUAACUACGUG
This 468-nucleotide ribosomal RNA is filed under the name uncultured bacterium. RNAcentral describes it as "partial 16S ribosomal RNA". It matches the Rfam family "Bacterial small subunit ribosomal RNA", at positions 28 to 507 of the family's 1533-position model. The record is from RNAcentral.